CGGUGUUCAACUGGCGUGUCCGCGGGACGUCCUGCCGGUGGGCUUAGCCCGCAAGGGCGGCCCAACUUCAAAUCCCAUCGCGGUGCUCUUCACUGAGUGUCGAGGUGGGCCGGCACGUUUACUUUGAACAAAUUAGAGUGCUUAAAGCAGGCUAAAACUUCCCCUGAAUACUGUGUGCAUGGAAUAAUGGAAUAGGACCUCGGUUCUAUUUUGUUGGUUUUCGGAACCCCGAGGUAAUGAUUAAUAGGAACGGAUGGGGGCAUUCGUAUUGCGACGUUAGAGGUGAAAUUCUUGGAUCGUCGCAAGACGGACAGAAGCGAAAGCAUUUGCCAAAAACGCUUUCAUUGAUCAAGAACGAAAGUUAGAGGUUCGAAGGCGAUCAGAUACCGCCCUAGUUCUAACCAUAAACGAUGCCAGCUAGCGAUCCGUCGACGUUCCUCCGAUGACUCGACGGGCAGCUUCCGGGAAACCAAAGCUUUUGGGUUCCGGGGGAAGUAUGGUUGCAAAGCUGAAACUUAAAGGAAUUGACGGAAGGGCACCACCCGGAGUGGAGCCUGCGGCUUAAUUUGACUCAACACGGGAAACCUCACCAGGCCCGGACACCGGAAGGAUUGACAGAUUGAGAGAUCUUUCUUGAUUCGGUGGGUGGGUGGUGCAUGGCCGUUUUUAGUUGGUGGAGAGAUUUGUGUGGUUAAUUCUGAUAACGAACGAGACUCUAGCCUGCUAACUAGGCGUAUUUUCGACAUCUCAAAGGUCCGUCGUCCCGGCCCUCGGGUCGUGGGCGUGCGCGAUUUUUACUGUCGGCGUACUAUCAAUUCUUCUUGAGGGACAGGUGG
This 836-nucleotide ribosomal RNA is filed under the name uncultured eukaryote. Its description in RNAcentral is "SSU rRNA". It matches the Rfam family "Eukaryotic small subunit ribosomal RNA", at positions 636 to 1426 of the family's 1831-position model. The record is from RNAcentral.